This is an RNA transcript of Hipposideros armiger (great roundleaf bat), 6074 nucleotides long. It is a transcript of the gene named nuclear receptor subfamily 2 group E member 3, with no coding region annotated. The transcript has 11 exons. The record is from RefSeq and is a predicted model, not a curated record. Lineage: Eukaryota; Metazoa; Chordata; Mammalia; Chiroptera; Hipposideridae.
ACUCGGCCCACAGCGCCCACAAGCUCCAUCCAACAUGGCUGCAGCUGCGCAGAUGGCUGUGGCUGCCUCCAGGAAGGAGUCUCCAGGCAGAUGGGCCCUGGGGGAGGAGCAGGCAGGCGUGGGCCCCUCCGUCCAGUGCCGCGUGUGCGGGGACAGCAGCAGUGGGAAGCACUAUGGCAUCCACGCCUGCAACGGCUGCAGCGGCUUCUUCAAGAGGAGCGUGAGGCGGAGGCUCAUCUAUAGGUGCCAGGUGGGGGCAGGGAUGUGCCCGGUGGACAAGGCCCAUAGGAACCAGUGCCAGGCCUGCCGGCUGAAGAAGUGCCUGCAGGCGGGUAUGAACCAGGACGCCGUGCAGAAUGAGCGCCAGCCCCGAAGCACAGCCCACGUCCGCCUGGAGAGGAUGGUGUCAGACAGGGAGCCCCAGCUGGCGCCCCUGGUGGCACUGCCGGCCUCAGCAGGGCCCAGCCCACGGGGCCCCAUGUCUGUUUCUGCAGCCAGAGCCUUGGGGCCGGGGGCCCUCACACCUCCAGGUCACCACCACUUCAUGGCCAGCCUUAUAACAGCCGAAACCUGUGCUAAGCUGGAGCCAGAGGAUGCUGAUGAGAACAUCGAUGUCACCAGCAAUGACCCCGAGGUCCCCUCCUCCCCUUGUGGCCCAGAAAGCAUCCAUGAGACGUCAGCUCGCCUGCUCUUCAUGGCGGUCAAGUGGGCCAAGAACCUGCCGGUGUUCUCCAACCUGCCUUUCCGGGACCAGGUGAUCUUGCUGGAAGAGGCGUGGAGUGAACUCUUCCUCCUCGGAGCCAUCCAGUGGUCUCUGCCUCUGAACCACUGCCCACUGCUGGCCCCUCCGGAGGCCCCGGCGGCUGGCAGCUCCCAGGGCCGGCUGGCAUUGGCCAGCAUGGAGAUGCGAAUCCUGCAGGAAACCAUCUCACGGUUCCGGGCGUUGGCGGUGGACCCCACAGAGUUUGCCUGCAUGAAGGCCCUGGUCCUCUUCAAACCAGAAACGCGGGGCCUGAAGGAUCCGGAGCAGGUGGAGGCCUUGCAGGACCAGUCCCAGGUGAUGCUGAGCCAGCACAGCAAAGCCCACCACCCCAGCCAGCCUGUGAGGUUUGGGAAAUUGCUCCUGCUCCUCCCUUCUUUGAGGUUUAUCGCUUCUGAACGCGUGGAGCUCCUGUUUUUCCGCAAGACCAUCGGGAAUACUCCAAUGGAAAAGCUCCUCUGUGAUAUGUUCAAAAACUAAUGGAGGCGGAAGUAAAGUGGGCACAGCCGCUUUGGAAAACAGUCUACGGAUGUAAAACACUUGCCUGCCCUGUGACCCAGCAAUUCCACCUGGAGAUUAACUCUUGGGGAGGGAAAAAUCAUCCACGUUUAUGAAUGAAAACCCUGAGGCUUAGCGAGGACUCGGACGUGCUGUGACUCUGCUCAGCUGUGGCACUGCCUCCUGCCCUCACCCCCUCAACCUCUGGAGCCCCUGAACAGUCUGCUGCAUUUUCUCCUUCAAAGAAGAGAGAUGCUUGAAGUCAAGAAGGAAAGGUCAUGUGAGAAAUUCCCUGCCCUUUGGCCUGUGCCUGGAUUCUCCCAGCUGACACAGAUAUCCUGUGGUGAUGGAGGGAGAGUGAUGGAGGGAGAACGGUUCAGAACACUUUGCUUUGGAAAUGACCAUUGCUAGGUUGGUGCCCAGGAUGGAAAGAGUGGAAAAUCCUGCCCAGCUGAGGUCCAGCCCACUUAAGCACUCAAACUACUUGAGACUCUUCAUCUUCUGAAAGGGUCCGACUUGCCUCAGUUAUUCGGGUGAUUUAAUGUCUGUAAUGUCAUCGUCCCUUCCAAUUCCCUACCCAAAGUUUUGCCUGUAGGUUUAAAGGCCUAUGUAUAGAAAGCCUGAGCAAAGGCACUUCAGCAAGAAACAUGGUUGAAAUAUGACCAGCUAGGCCCUGCACACUUACCCUAGUCUUGCUUUGAGACCCUAAGACUGCAAAGGCAGCCUGCUGAAGUUCACAGGCGGUGUCUAGGAUGUGGGAACACAGCAGAGCUACACUGGGAAAGGCAUUGUUUGGGGUCUCCAGGAGGAAGUCUUGGAGAAUUAAAGGAGGUCUAAGCUGGUGGCAUCCAUACCACCUGCCCUUCUAAGGCCUGUGUUCAUUGCAGAUUCCAGGAACUACAUUUCCCAGGAUCCCUGCCCCUGUGGUUUGCUAAGGGAAAGAGGGCACUCCUGAGAUUUGGAAGGACCCUUGCCGCGAGAGGGGAUACUAUGGAAGUUCCUUUUUGCCCUCAAUACCAGAAAUGUCUUUGGUUAUGAAGCACACAGAAGUGGUUCCGUGGGCCUUUCAGCUGCAGUUUUCAGGUUCAGAAGACACAUCUCCUCCUCGACCCUUAAGGGGCAGAGAAAGACUGAAAGAUGCCAAGAAGCACCCAUUCAAGUGAACGAAUAUAGCCUGAUGACGGAACCCAGGUGCUGGGGAUUUCAGAGUCAGCAAGACAGUCACAUUUCCUGCCUUGGGAAGCUGACAUCAAACUGUUUUGGUGCCACAAAUACUGGGAACUGUUGAGAACACAAGACAUCUAACCCAGUUCAAGGGAGAAGAGGCAAUUUCCAACUAGAACUGUUUUACACUGAGGCCUGAGAGUCAGUAGGAGUUAGUUAUUCAGAAACCUGGGGAAGAGAACUCAUUUCCAGAGAGGAAAACUAACACCCAGAGAGGGCAAAUGACUGAAGUAGAAUGGCAGACAAAAACGACAAACUAGGUUUGAACUCUUGGGCCUCUAUAAGCAGGUACUGCCACUUCUUCACGGCCCUUUUGGUGAGGACCCUAAAUGCAGGUGUAUCGCCUUCCCUGCCCAGCCAGCCCUAAGCGGAUGAGAUGAAUUGGGGAUGGCCAGCAGCUAGAAUCCAUGAAGGGAACCAGCAGCUUCAAUCUCACCAUCACGUGCACUCAGUUGAGUUCCAACCACCACCACCUCUGCACUGUCAACUUUGGGCUCAGCCUUUUCCUUAAAAAAAUCAGUUUAACAAACAAAAAACAUUGCUGUUCCUUGGGAUCAGGUUGGAGCGAGUUGGGGCGGGAGCCAGGACGGUCAGAAAACAAACCACACGCAUUGCUGCUACUGGAAGCUUUUGUUCUUUAAUGAGCCAUUGGGGUGAUUUGUUCAAGCUGCUUUGUAGCCAUACAGUGCAUAUUUUCAGUGACACAAACUGGACUUUAUACAGAUGAUGUCUUGCUCCCCCCCAACUCCCUCAAAAAUACAAAGUGCCUGUUGAUUGUAUCAGGAAUGUAAUCAGUUCCGUGGGUGAAAUGUCAUUCUUCUUAUAGAAUUAUUCUGUUUAACAGUAAAAUAUUAUAUUUCACAGGAUAUGUCCUUUUACAAUACAUAGUCUUUUAAAAAUUUACACUCAGCAUACUUAUAAAUUACUUUAAAUCCAUUAAAAUAAUACUAAUCUGUAGCACACACCUUUCCCCUAGAAAAUACAAUUACUUGGUUCAAAAGGUGUCACUUUUCUAUGACCUAAGAGGGCUGAUAAAUAGGUAAUAAGGGUGGAUAACAAGGUGAUAGACCCCUUGGUGGGGCUUUUUCAAAACCAGUUUCAACCAAGAGACCAAGAUGACAUAACAGACCCAUGUCCCAUCACCAUUCUGCUGUUACCUUUUAACACCAAAUGGGAAGGGUUCCAGAGAAAAGUGGUUCAAAGUAUUUUAGGGGCAGAGAGAGAGAGACAGGACUCCCACAAAUACCAAGGAACUUCACCAUCAAGGCGAGCAUGGUGUUGGGGGGACGAUGCUGGGGAGUUGUCACAGAAUUUUGGGUAGACGUAACACAUUUGUCAACACAGUGAUGCGUGCCCCAUGUCCAGCUCCCCACCAAGGGAAAAAAAGAGGAGAAAGAAGGAUAAGGAAAGCCGUCUGGACUGCAUUUUUUUUUAAAUUAAAACUCUGAGUUCUGAACACAUCCUGAUUUCUCUGCUUCACCGAAGUGCUCAUGAGGCGCACACAUUCAUCGUAUUAAAGUAACCACGGCCCACGGGCACGGAGUGGGCUGCACCGAGCGGCACCUCUUCUCAGCGAGUCUGGGACACUCUGCCUCUGACAGUAAAAACAACCCUAUCGUGACAGAGCGGGGAAUUCUCCACUAACCUCCUCGCAGGGUAAGAGGUCUGCCUCUGCGAGACUCAGGGAAGGCUGGCUGUCCCUUUGUGUUCCCAGAGCCCACUGUGGCAAAGUGAUUCAAACGGCAGAAGUACAAAGUGCUUUACAAACUAAAUUAAGCAGGUCUCCUCCGAACUCUUCCUGUAUUUGCUGUUAAAGUCAUUUGCCUCACUUUGUGAUACCCAAUGUGGCCCCCAAAACUACAUGCCUCUGCUUCCAUGACAUUAUCCACGAUAAGGGACGUGUUGGCUUUAAAGGAGAGAGUUGAGAACCCAGCCUUUGUUUGGGGCUGGGGCUGUGUGGUAAGAACAGUGCUCUGCAUUUUGGAGGAUGGGCCAGGAGGCAUCUGAGAUCAAAGAAAACAUGCAAAGGAGAAACAACAGGACACACAGAUGUGAUACAUAUUAAGAGCAAGUAUCUUAAUCGUAAGUGACUGUAUCGUGUGCAGCUCACUUCAUGGUGAUGGAACCUGAACCAGGGAGAGAACCCGUAAGAUCAAAUGGAAGGAGAUACAGCACUUGGUUCUGGCAGUUUUCAAGAGUUCCAACUUCAUCUCUUUAUCAGGCCACAAUGCCUAUUACUCUAUGAGAACAACGGCUUUCUCUCCUUCACACGGAGGGGCACACACUUGUUCUCCAUUCUUACAAUUUCAUGAUCUCUUCUCCCCACCACCCUCCAUUUUGGCAGCUUGUUAAAUGACUAGAAAUCCACAAAUCUAGCAACUGAAAAACAAAUAUUUUUUAUUUAAUUUUAUCCAAAUUCAGGUUUCAGGUCCCUGAGAAAAAUUAUAAAGUCUCUUAACAUCCAUUGCUGAGUUCCUAUAAAGUGACUUAAAUGAGUAGUUUUUUAACUGCCAAAAACUUAUUCUGCAAAAAACAACAAUAGCAACAUCAAAAAAUUCCACAUAGGUUUAGGAGGAGAACAUGUGCCCAGAUGUGUUCUCCAGGCCAUUCCUCGGGGCUGAAGGAAAGGGUCAUCGCCUUUUUGUGUGGUACUGAACCAAUGUUUGGAGCAGGUGGAAAGGCCGUCAGGCCCAGAGCAGACUCUCCCAGGGGCACUGGGCCAGGUUGUGGCCUGCCAGGGGCCGGGGCCUGGGCAGCGAUCCCCCUGGGACAUGCCAUGCUGAGGACCUGGGUUUUCCUCCAGGGGAGUCUCCAAAAUUCAAUUAUUUAAAGGCUUCCCAUUUAUGACUCCUCAGAACAGCACAAACAAGCUGGCCGGUGUUUGUGGGCUAUAAAAGCGAACAUUUACUCACUAACCAUCAUCAUUCUGGAUUUGAAAGGAUUCCCUUCCCUAGAUCACUGCUGAACCCAGACCAGGGGCGGGUAAGACUCCCGCUGCCUUUAGCGGGAACCACAUUCCGAGAGGUACCUCGGGCUUGACAACAGCCACGCAGCCAGUGGCGCGAGGCUCCGCGCUGAGUAACAGGAGAUGCUCUGCCUUAACACAAGUCUUAGUAUUUCCAUAACUUCAAAUCAAAGACGCAUGAAAAGGAAGAAUAACCAAAAUUCAGGUUACAGGUGGUAAAGGCUCUUUUUUUAGAACAGUGCAUGUGGUAGUUAGACAAGAUGCAUUUAGUAACUUUAAAACAAAUCUUAAAAAUAAACAUUUUCACAUACUUAUCUCAAGAAAGGGUAACAUGUUUCAUUUUCCAUGUAUCAUAAAUAGCAAAAACAGAUUUCGAAUCCCACGAAUCCUACGAAGCUUAAAAUGCUAUUGUAACUCAGGUGUAUGGAGACACCCAGUGGUGAGAGAUGGUCUGACUUGUCCCUCAGUCCAGGGACGGGAGGUGUCACCUCCCAGUCCAAUGACCCAUAAUCUGGGGGAAGAAAUUCCACGGGGAGGAGGGAAGCAUAAGGUUAAAAAGAAAUGUGCAUACUAUACAUAUAUAUUUACAGUAAACUUCAGUAACCAGAAUAUUAACAAAAAUAGCUU